Molecule: ribosomal RNA, 256 nt
Filed under: Stenotrophomonas rhizophila
Lineage: Bacteria; Pseudomonadati; Pseudomonadota; Gammaproteobacteria; Lysobacterales; Lysobacteraceae
Description: partial 16S ribosomal RNA
Rfam family: Bacterial small subunit ribosomal RNA
Source: RNAcentral
UAAUACGAAGGGUGCAAGCGUUACUCGGAAUUACUGGGCGUAAAGCGUGCGUAGGUGGUUGUUUAAGUCUGUUGUGAAAGCCCUGGGCUCAACCUGGGAAUUGCAGUGGAUACUGGGCGACUAGAGUGUGGUAGAGGGUAGUGGAAUUCCCGGUGUAGCAGUGAAAUGCGUAGAGAUCGGGAGGAACAUCCAUGGCGAAGGCAGCUACCUGGACCAACACUGACACUGAGNCACGAAAGCGUGGGGAGCAAACAGG